Molecule: ribosomal RNA, 250 nt
Filed under: uncultured Eubacteriales bacterium
Lineage: Bacteria; Bacillati; Bacillota; Clostridia; Eubacteriales
Description: uncultured Clostridiales bacterium partial 16S ribosomal RNA
Rfam family: Bacterial small subunit ribosomal RNA
Source: RNAcentral
GGGCACUCUAAAGAGACUGCCGAUGACAAAUCGGAGGAAGGUGGGAUGACGUCAAAUCAUCAUGCCCUUUAUGUCCUGGGCUACACACGUGCUACAAUGGUCGGUACAACGAGAAGCAAGCCAGCGAUGGCAAGCAAAUCUCUAAAAGCCAAUCCCAGUUCGGAUUGCAGUCUGCAACUCGACUGCAUGAAGCCGGAGUUGCUAGUAACCGCAGGUCAGCAAUACUGCGGUGAAUACGUUCCCGGGUCUU